CGGGCCGUAGCGCAGCUUGGUAGCGCACUAGCCUGGGUGUCUAGGUGGCGCAGGUUCAAAUCCUGUCGGCCCGACCA
This 77-nucleotide transfer RNA is filed under the name Bacillota bacterium. Its description in RNAcentral is "tRNA-Pro". It matches the Rfam family "tRNA". From Rfam's summary of the family: Transfer RNA (tRNA) molecules are approximately 80 nucleotides in length. Their secondary structure includes four short double-helical elements and three loops (D, anti-codon, and T loops). The record is from RNAcentral. Lineage: Bacteria; Bacillati; Bacillota.